This 326-nucleotide ribosomal RNA is filed under the name uncultured eukaryote. RNAcentral's name for it is "partial 18S ribosomal RNA". It matches the Rfam family "Eukaryotic small subunit ribosomal RNA", at positions 1470 to 1796 of the family's 1831-position model. The record is from RNAcentral.
CCCUUAGAUGUUCUGGGCUGCACGCGCGCUACACUGAUGCAUGCAACGAGUUUUCGACCUUGCCUGAAAAGGUUGGGUAAUCUGUUUAACAUGUGUCGUGAUGGGGAUAGACCAUUGCAAUUAUUGAUCUUCAACGAGGAAUUCCUAGUAAGCGCGAGUCAUCAGCUCGUGCUGAUUAUGUCCCUGCCCUUUGUACACACCGUCCGUCGCUCCUACCGAUUGAGUGAUCCGGUGAAUGAUUCGGACCAGCGUGCUGCUCAGAUCCUGCGCAGUGUGCUGGGAAGUCUAGUGAACCUUAUCACUUAGAGGAAGGAGAAGUCGUAACA